GACGAACGCUGGCGGCGUGCUUAACACAUGCAAGUCGAACGGAAAGGCCCCUUCGGGGGUACUCGAGUGGCGAACGGGUGAGUAACACGUGAGUAACCUGCCCUUGACUUCGGGAUAACUUCAGGAAACUGGGGCUAAUACCGGAUAGGAAUCCUUGCUGCAUGGUGGGGGUUGGAAAGCUUCGGCGGUUUUGGAUGGACUCGCGGCUUAUCAGCUUGUUGGUGGGGUAGUGGCUUACCAAGGCUUUGACGGGUAGCCGGCCGGAGAGGGCGACCGGCCACAUUGGGACUGAGAUACGGCCCAGACUCCUACGGGAGGCAGCAGUGGGGAAUAUUGCACAAUGGGCGGAAGCCUGAUGCAGCAACGCCGCGUGCGGGAUGACGGCCUUCGGGUUGUAAACCGCUUUCAGCAGGGGCGAAGCUUGUGGUGACGGUACCUGCAGAAGAAGCACCGGCUAACUACGUG
This 465-nucleotide ribosomal RNA is filed under the name uncultured bacterium. RNAcentral's name for it is "partial 16S ribosomal RNA". It matches the Rfam family "Bacterial small subunit ribosomal RNA", at positions 28 to 507 of the family's 1533-position model. The record is from RNAcentral.